UAGGGUGAGAGGUGACGGGGAGUUAAAGGAAACUUUGACGAACUCGUGAAUCCCACACUGCCAAGAAAAGCUUCUAGCGAGGACUGAUCCGCCCGUACCGUAAACCGACACAGGUAGGCGGGGAGAGAAUCCUAAGGUGCGCGGGAAAACCCUCGUUAAGGAACUCGGCAAAUUGCAUCCGUAACUUCGGAAGAAGGAUGGCCCUGAGUAGGCGAAAAGUCUAGCACUUGGAACCGGAAAGGGCGGCAGAAAAGAGGCCCAAGCAACUGUUUACCAAAAACACAGGUGCCUGCGAAAGCGAAAGCUGACGUAUAGGUGCUGACGCCUGCCCGGUGCUGGAAGGUUAAGGAGAGAGGUUAGCGCAAGCGAAGCUUUGAACUGAAGCCCCCAGUGAACGGCGGCCGUAACAAUAACGGUCCUAAGGUAGCGAAAUUCCUUGUCGGGUAAGUUCCGACCCGCAUGAAAGGCGUAAUGAUUUGGGCACUGUCUCAACGAGGGGCCCGGUGAAAUUGAAAUACCUGUGAAGAUGCAGGUUACCCGCGACUGGACAGAAAGACCCCAUGGAGCUUUACUGCAGCUUGAGACGGAAUCUCAGAAGUAGACGCACAGGAUAGGUGGGAGGCAUUGAAACAUACACUUAGGUGGAUGUGGAGCCGCCGUUGGGAUACCACCCUUCUAGUUCUGGGAUUCUAACGCGAGGAGUAACGACCCUGCGGACAAUCUCAGGCGGGCGGUUUGACUGGGGCGGUCGCCUCCGAAAGAGUAACGGAGGCGCCCAAAGGUUCCCUCAGGCCGGACAGAAACCGGCCGACGAGUGCAAAGGCAGAAGGGAGCUUGACUGCGAGACCAACAAGUCGAGCAGAGACGAAAGUCGGGCUUAGUGAUCCGGUGGCCCUGCGUGGAAAGGCCAUCGCUCAACGGAUAAAAGCUACCCUGGGGAUAACAGGCUAAUCUCUCCCAAGAGUUCAUAUCGACGGGGAGGUUUGGCACCUCGAUGUCGGCUCAUCACAUCCUGGGGCUGGAGUAGGUCCCAAGGGUUGGGCUGUUCGCCCAUUAAAGUGGUACGCGAGCUGGGUUCAAAACGUCGUGAGACAGUUUGGUUCAUAUCCAUCGCGGGCGUAAGAAGUUUGAGGGGAGCUGCUCCUAGUACGAGAGGACCGGAGUGGACGGAUCAACGGUGUACCAGUUGUCACGCCAGUGGCACGGCUGGAAAGCCGCAUCCGGAAGGGAUAAACGCUGAAAGCAUCUAAGCGUGAAGCCCACCCCGAGAUGAGACUUCUCAUCAGAAAUGAGUAAGACUCCUUAUAGACUAUGAGGUUGAUAGGCCGCAAGUGGAAGCGCAGCGAUGUGCGGAGCGAUGCGGUACUAAUAAGUCGAGGUCUUAAC
Molecule: ribosomal RNA, 1386 nt
Filed under: metagenome
Description: bacterial LSU rRNA
Rfam family: Bacterial large subunit ribosomal RNA
Source: RNAcentral